Molecule: long non-coding RNA, 527 nt
Organism: Oryzias melastigma (Indian medaka)
Lineage: Eukaryota; Metazoa; Chordata; Actinopteri; Beloniformes; Adrianichthyidae
Exons: 2
Source: RefSeq, a predicted model, not a curated record
UUUCUCCACAUGAAUGACUCGUGUAGAUGUUGGAGUGAUUCAGGCCUACUGUUGACUCUUGCUCAGCAGAAACAUCUUUAAAGCCAUUCCUGAAGUUGGAUUUCACCGAGCAUCCAUGUUUGGCCACAGUUCCCUGCUUUCCCCUUCGCCUCAGCUCCUCUGACUCACACUGAACACUGUUGCCAGGGCUACCGUUUAUUAAAAUUGGUCCACAACUUUAAGCCUCAUCACCAGACUGCAGGUGGCUGACGGCAGACACUGACCAUAAACACCCCUGAGGUGCUGCUGGUCUGUCUACCUCUGCCAGUACAGCUGUGGCCGCUGUCGGAGGAACUGUCAGGGCCGGUGUGACCUCUGCAGUGGGAUGGCUGCGCAGCCGUUUCAGUGAUCAAAAAUGAGCUUUUUUUGACACUCAUCUGCAUUUGUUCUGACACAAAGCUCUGUCUUCUCUGAAAUUUGGGGGGGUUUGUGUAUCUUUCAAUCAAUUCACUUUUGACAAUCCAGUAAUAUAUGUUGUUCAUAUAACA